GCGGUAAUACCAGCUCCCCGAGUGGUUGGGGUGUUUAUUGGGUCUAAAGCAUUCGUAGCCGGCCGGGAAAGUUCUCCGUUAAAUUCGACGAUUCAAUCGUCGGUGUGCGGGGAAAACUUUUCGGCUUGGGGGCGGAGGAAGUCGGCGGUAUUUCUGGGGUAGGGGCGAAAUCCUAUAAUCCCAG
Molecule: ribosomal RNA, 184 nt
Filed under: Candidatus Bathyarchaeota archaeon
Lineage: Archaea; Thermoproteati; Candidatus Bathyarchaeota
Description: partial 16S ribosomal RNA
Rfam family: Archaeal small subunit ribosomal RNA
Source: RNAcentral